RNAcentral lists this transfer RNA (69 nucleotides) under Oniticellus egregius. RNAcentral describes it as "tRNA-Trp". The record is from RNAcentral. Lineage: Eukaryota; Metazoa; Arthropoda; Insecta; Coleoptera; Scarabaeidae.
AAGGAUUUAAGUUAAUUAAACUUUAAACCUUCAAAGUUUAAAAUAAAGAAUUUAUAUCUUUAAGCCUUA